Non-coding RNA from Sus scrofa (pig), 1110 nucleotides. The record is from RefSeq and is a predicted model, not a curated record. NCBI's taxonomy places the organism in Eukaryota, Metazoa, Chordata, Mammalia, Artiodactyla, Suidae.
UGCUGUAUAAAUAUUUUAAGAUUGUGCCAGUAACAGGAGUUUGUGUGUACAUUACACGGAGUUCUCUCUUAUCCGGUUGGGGAAGCCGCUGGAAAGAGCAGAUGCAAAUUGUCCAAACAAACAUUUGUUUCCCCCGGCCCGUGGGGGCGGGGAGGCGGGGGGUUGGACGCCCUCCCUCCUCCGGAGCCACAGGUAGGGCCCCGCUGGGCUGGGGAGCGCGCGGGGGGAGUUGUGUGUUUGUGCUGUGAGCUCUGCCAGGACUGGAACACCUGUGGAUGGAAUUUCAAUUAACAACGAGAGACAAAAUCCCCCCCCAGCCCGGCUCGGGCGCCCACGUGCUGCUGGGUGGUGUGAACUUCCCGCCAGGCACCGCUUCGUCAGCUAAAAGCGGAGCGUGAGACUGAAGGCAGGCUUCCCAAUACAAAAAAAGAGACUUUUUCCGCAGGAGGAAAGAGGCAGGAAGGCCGACUGGCCUGGUGCCUCUGUCCAUUGCACAAGUGGACACAAUCGACGCCUGGGGCUCACAGGACCCCCUCCUAUGGCCCCUGCGGUGGGAAGAUCCUAGCUCGAGCCCGAGGCUCCCGCCAGCUCAAAUGGCCAGGAGGCACCAGGCUGGAAGGCACAGGCCCGGAAGUCCCUGCUCAUGUUCCAUCUUCUCACACGGAAACCAGAAGACCAAGGCUGCCCAGGCAGGAAAGCUGACACCAUGAGCUCUGCAGCCACACUGCAGGACCGCGGGCACCACUGCCGUUUCUCAAGCCUCUUCUUCAGGGGCUGCCCCACUUCGCUGGUCCUGCCCGUGCCUGGACCAUCCACACUGUCGCCCUUCAGCUUGGCCGGACCGGCCAGAACCGGUGCUGCUGCUGCUUGAGGUCCGGGAAACAAACACAAACCACAACACUGCAGGCUCAGAACCUCCUGAGGCCACAUCACCGGGGGAGAAGAGCCAGUCUGAGGGCCAGCAGCCUGUGCUGAGCGUUUUCAUUAUUGCCGAACAUAAAAAGCUAAAGGCAAGGAGACCAACGCAUUUCCCAAAGUGUCUGUAUUUUAAGCCGUGUUUUCUUUGUUAAAUGUGUAAAAACAUGGAGACGAGACAGGUGGAAUUCUGCA